AGAAUCAACGCUGGCGGCGUGCCUAACACAUGCAAGUCGCACGAGAAAGGGGAGCAAUCCCUGAGUACAGUGGCGCACGGGUGAGUAACACGUGAAUAAUCUACCUCCGAGUGGGGAAUAAACUGAGAGAAAUCUUAGCUAAUACCGCAUAAUACCCACGGGUCAAAGCAGCAAUGCGCUUGGAGAGGAGUUCGCGGCAGAUUAGUUAGUUGGCGGGGUAAUGGCCCACCAAGACGAUGAUCUGUA
This 246-nucleotide ribosomal RNA is filed under the name uncultured bacterium. RNAcentral describes it as "partial small subunit ribosomal RNA". It matches the Rfam family "Bacterial small subunit ribosomal RNA", at positions 26 to 285 of the family's 1533-position model. The record is from RNAcentral.